Molecule: ribosomal RNA, 253 nt
Filed under: uncultured bacterium
Lineage: Bacteria
Description: partial 16S ribosomal RNA
Rfam family: Bacterial small subunit ribosomal RNA
Source: RNAcentral
UACGAAGGGGGCUAGCGUUGUUCGGAAUUACUGGGCGUAAAACGCACGUAGGCGGAUAUUUAAGUCAGGGGUGAAAUCCCGGGGCUCAACCCCGGAACUGCCUUUGAUACUGGGUAUUUCGAGUCCGGAAGAGGUGAGUGGAAUUCCGAGUGUAGAGGUGAAAUUCGUAGAUAUUCGGAGGAACACCAGUGGCGAAGGCGGCUCACUGGUCCGGUACUGACGCUGAGGUGCGAAAGCGUGGGGAGCAAACAGG